UGUGUGUGUCUCUGUACUUGUGUUUACGUGUGUGUGUGUGUGUGUGUCUCUGUACUUGUGUUUACGUGUGUGUG
This is a non-coding RNA of Pangasianodon gigas (Mekong giant catfish), 74 nucleotides long. NCBI's taxonomy places the organism in Eukaryota, Metazoa, Chordata, Actinopteri, Siluriformes, Pangasiidae. The record is from the annotation of a GenBank genome assembly.